RNAcentral lists this ribosomal RNA (497 nucleotides) under uncultured bacterium. Its description in RNAcentral is "partial 16S ribosomal RNA". It matches the Rfam family "Bacterial small subunit ribosomal RNA", at positions 28 to 507 of the family's 1533-position model. The record is from RNAcentral.
GAUGAACGCUGGCGGCGUGCCUAAUACAUGCAAGUAGAACGCUGAAGCUUGGUGCUUGCACCGAGCGGAUGAGUUGCGAACGGGUGAGUAACGCGUAGGUAACCUGCCUCUUAGCGGGGGAUAACUAUUGGAAACGAUAGCUAAUACCGCAUAAAAGUCGAUAUCGCAUGAUAUUGAUUUGAAAGGUGCAAAUGCAUCACUAAGAGAUGGACCUGCGUUGUAUUAGUUAGUUGGUGAGGUAACGGCGCACCAAGGCGUCGAUACAUAGCCGACCUGAGCGGGUGGUCGGCCACACUGGGACUGGGACACGGCCCAGGCUCCUACGGGGGGCAGCAAUAGGGAAUCUUCGGCAAUGGGGGGAAACCUGGCCGAGCAACGCCGGGUGGGUGAAGAAAGUUUUCGGAUCGGAAAGCUCUGUUGUAAGGGAAGAACGAGUGUGAGAGUGGAAAGUUCACGCUGUGACGGUAACUUACCAGAAAGGGACGGCUAACUACGUG